GCCUAAUGUGGUAGUAAGUGGUGUUGACCCCCUGUCUACGAGGCUACAACUCGUCGCCUGCAACUCGGCCAUACUACC
This 78-nucleotide transfer RNA is filed under the name Phelsuma grandis (Madagascar giant day gecko). Its description in RNAcentral is "tRNA-Tyr". Lineage: Eukaryota; Metazoa; Chordata; Lepidosauria; Squamata; Gekkonidae. The record is from RNAcentral.